GAUGAACGCUGGCGGCGUGCCUAAUACAUGCAAGUCGAGCGAACAGACGAGGAGCUUGCUCCUCUGACGUUAGCGGCGGACGGGUGAGUAACACGUGGAUAACCUACCUAUAAGACUGGGAUAACUUCGGGAAACCGGAGCUAAUACCGGAUAAUAUAUUGAACCGCAUGGUUCAAUAGUGAAAGACGGUUUUGCUGUCACUUAUAGAUGGAUCCGCGCCGCAUUAGCUAGUUGGUAAGGUAACGGCUUACCAAGGCAACGAUGCGUAGCCGACCUGAGAGGGGGAUCGGCCACACUGGAACUGAGACACGGUCCAGACUCCUACGGGAGGCAGCAGUAGGGAAUCUUCCGCAAUGGGCGAAAGCCUGACGGAUCAACGCCGCGUGAGUGAUGAAGGUCUUCGGAUCGUAAAACUCUGUUAUUAGGGAAGAACAAAUGUGUAAGUAACUAUGCACGUCUUGACGGUACCUAAUCAGAAAGCCACGGCUAACUACGUG
RNAcentral lists this ribosomal RNA (497 nucleotides) under uncultured bacterium. RNAcentral's name for it is "partial 16S ribosomal RNA". It matches the Rfam family "Bacterial small subunit ribosomal RNA", at positions 28 to 507 of the family's 1533-position model. The record is from RNAcentral.